RNAcentral lists this ribosomal RNA (496 nucleotides) under uncultured bacterium. RNAcentral's name for it is "partial 16S ribosomal RNA". It matches the Rfam family "Bacterial small subunit ribosomal RNA", at positions 28 to 506 of the family's 1533-position model. The record is from RNAcentral.
GAUGAACGCUGGCGGCGUGCCUAAUACAUGCCAGUCGAGCGAACAGACGAGGAGCUUGCUCCUUUGACGUUAGCGGCGGACGGGUGAGUAACACGUGGGUAACCUACCUAUAAGACUGGGAUAACUUCGGGAAACCGGAGCUAAUACCGGAUAAUAUUUCGAACCGCAUGGUUCGAUAGUGAAAGAUGGCUUUGCUAUCACUUAUAGAUGGACCUGCGCCGUAUUAGCUAGUUGGUAAGGUAACGGCUUACCAAGGCAACGAUACGUAGCCGACCUGAGAGGGUGAUCGGCCACACUGGAACUGAGACACGGUCCAGACUCCUACGGGAGGCAGCAGUAGGGAAUCUUCCGCAAUGGGCGAAAGCCUGACGGAGCAACGCCGCGUGAGUGAUGAAGGUCUUCGGAUCGUAAAACUCUGUUAUUAGGGAAGAAUAAACGUGUAAGUAACUGUGCACGUCUUGACGGUACCUAAUCAGAAAGCCACGGCGAACUACGU